Molecule: long non-coding RNA, 500 nt
Filed under: Prunus persica (peach)
Lineage: Eukaryota; Viridiplantae; Streptophyta; Magnoliopsida; Rosales; Rosaceae
Description: long non-coding RNA (PPER_LNC006017)
Source: RNAcentral
GCCUUCUCAUGUGCUUUAAGGCCUGUUUAAUUUAUAUUUGAAAUGAUAUUUUAUCUUCUUUUUUUAUUUAUUUAAAUUUAACGCGUAUUUUUCUUCUUUUCAAUGUAUAUUGUUGUUUUUUUAUCGAGUUAGCUCGUUACUAUUUUGCUCUUUUCUUGUUGUUUUUGUUCGAGCUAGCAUUCUGCAUUGAAGUUAAGGCUUGGCAAAUUGAACUGAUAAACCGGAAAAAUGACCGAACCAAACCCCGAUCAUCCAACUUUGAAUCAAUCACUUGCACCACUAGAUUAACCAACUCCUUUGUGUAAAUAUGGUACAACAAAUAUAUUUAAUAAGUUCUUAUUCCAUAUAAACUAAAAAAUAUAUUAAAGUGUUAGGGAAACCUAACACUUCUCUUCAUUUAUUUUUUCCUUUACAGCUACAUUUCUUCAUCUUCUCCCUCUCUCUCUCUCUUUGUCAACUUAUUCUUCUCGAUGUUGUUAUCAUAUCCUUUUUUCUUUUCU